AAGGGUGCGUAACACGUGGGGAAUCUGCCGAGAAGUGGGGGAUAGCUCGUCGAAAGGCGAAUUAAUACCGCAUGUGGUUAGGGAAGACAUCUUUCCGAUACCAAAGCCGGGGCAACCUGGCGCUUCUUGAUGACCCCGCGGCCUAUCAGCUAGUUGGUGAGGUAACGGCUCACCAAGGCUAUGACGGGUAGCUGGUCUGAGAGGACGACCAGCCACACUGGAACUGAGACACGGUCCAGACACCUACGGGUGGCAGCAGUCGAGAAUUUUUCUCAAUGGGGGAAACCCUGAAGGAGCGACGCCGCGUGGAGGAUGAAGGUCUUCGGAUUGUAAACUCCUGUCAUUUGGGAACAAUGUGCAGUCGUUAACUGCGAUUGCAUUGAUAGUACCAGAAGAGGAAGAGACGGCUAACUCUGUGCCAGCAGCCGCGGUAAUACAGAGGUCUCAAGCGUUGUUCGGAUUCAUUGGGCGUAAAGGGUGCGUAGGUGGCGCCAUAAGUCAGGUGUGAAAUCUCGGGGCUCAACCCCGAAACUGCACUUGAUACUGUGGUGCUCGAGUACUGGAGAGGAGAUUGGAAU
Molecule: ribosomal RNA, 578 nt
Filed under: uncultured bacterium
Lineage: Bacteria
Description: bacterial SSU rRNA
Rfam family: Bacterial small subunit ribosomal RNA
Source: RNAcentral